This 74-nucleotide transfer RNA is filed under the name Taibaiella sp. RNAcentral's name for it is "tRNA-Gln". It matches the Rfam family "tRNA". Rfam says of the family: Transfer RNA (tRNA) molecules are approximately 80 nucleotides in length. Lineage: Bacteria; Pseudomonadati; Bacteroidota; Chitinophagia; Chitinophagales; Chitinophagaceae. The record is from RNAcentral.
AGUCCUGUGGUGUAACGGUAGCACAACAGUUUUUGGUACUGUUUGUUCUGGUUCGAAUCCAGCCGGGACUACCA